RNAcentral lists this ribosomal RNA (267 nucleotides) under uncultured bacterium. RNAcentral describes it as "partial 16S ribosomal RNA". The record is from RNAcentral.
CUGCUGCCUUCCGUAGGAGUCUGGUCCGUGUCUCAGUACCAGUGUGGGGGACCUUCCUCUCAGAACCCCUAGACAUCGUCGCCUUGGUGGGCCGUUACCCCGCCAACUAGCUAAUGUCACGCAUGCCCAUCCGUCUCCGGAGUCGCCUCCUUUGGCCGAAAGAAGAUGCCUCCCCUCGGCCACAUGCGGUAUUAGGCCGGAUUUCUCCGGGUUAUCCCGCUGAAACGGGCAGGUUGCAUACGCGUUACUCACCCGUGCGCCGGUCCG